This 114-nucleotide ribosomal RNA is filed under the name Lepisosteus oculatus (spotted gar). The record is from RNAcentral. Lineage: Eukaryota; Metazoa; Chordata; Actinopteri; Semionotiformes; Lepisosteidae.
UACAACAGUCUUACCAUGUUUUAGUCUGAUCUUGUCUGAUCUCAGAAGCUAAGCAAAACUGGGCUUGGUCAGUACUGUGAUGGAAGCCCCUUAAGAAAAAAGUUGCUCCUGUAA